RNAcentral lists this ribosomal RNA (710 nucleotides) under uncultured Acetobacter sp. Its description in RNAcentral is "bacterial SSU rRNA". It matches the Rfam family "Bacterial small subunit ribosomal RNA", at positions 39 to 790 of the family's 1533-position model. The record is from RNAcentral. Lineage: Bacteria; Pseudomonadati; Pseudomonadota; Alphaproteobacteria; Acetobacterales; Acetobacteraceae.
GCGGCAUGCUUAACACAUGCGAGUCGCACGGACCCUUCGGGGUCAGUGGCGCACGGGUGAGUAACACGUAGGANUCUGUCUUGAGGUGGGGGAUAACUCCGGGAAACUGGAGCUAAUACCGCAUGAUAACUGAGGUUCAAAGGUCGCAAGACCGCCUUGAGAGGGGCCUGCGUUCGAUUAGUUAGUUGGUGGGGUAAUGGCCUACCAAGACGAUGAUCGAUAGCUGGUUUGAGAGGAUGAUCAGCCACACUGGGACUGAGACACGGCCCAGACUCCUACGGGAGGCAGCAGUGGGGAAUAUUGGACAAUGGGGGCAACCCUGAUCCAGCAAUGCCGCGUGUGUGAAGAAGGUCUUCGGAUUGUAAAACACUUUCGUUGGGGACGAUGAUGACGGUACCCAAAGAAGAAGCCCCGGCUAACUUCGUGCCAGCAGCCGCGGUAAUACGAAGGGGGCGAGCGUUGCUCGGAAUAACUGGGCGUAAAGGGCGCGUAGGCGGCCGAUAGCUGUCAGAUGUGAAAUUUUUGGGCUCAACCCGAAAACUGCAUUUGAUACGUAUUGGCUAGAGUGCGAGAGAGGAUUGCGGAAUUCCCAGUGUAGAGGUGAAAUUCGUAGAUAUUCGGAAGAACACCAGUGGCGAANGCGGCUCACUGGACUGGUAUUGACGCUGAGGUGCGAAAGCGUGGGGAGCAAACNGGAUUAGAUACCCNGG